CCUUUGAUAGCUCAGUUGGUAGAGCGGAGGACUGUAGAUCCUUAGGUCGCUGGUUCAACUCCGGCUCGAAGGA
Molecule: transfer RNA, 73 nt
Filed under: Merluccius polli (Benguela hake)
Lineage: Eukaryota; Metazoa; Chordata; Actinopteri; Gadiformes; Merlucciidae
Description: tRNA-Tyr
Rfam family: tRNA
About the family: Transfer RNA (tRNA) molecules are approximately 80 nucleotides in length. Their secondary structure includes four short double-helical elements and three loops (D, anti-codon, and T loops). Further hydrogen bonds mediate the characteristic L-shaped molecular structure. tRNAs have two regions of fundamental functional importance: the anti-codon, which is responsible for specific mRNA codon recognition, and the 3' end, to which the tRNAs corresponding amino acid is attached (by aminoacyl-tRNA synthetases). tRNAs cope with the degeneracy of the genetic code in two manners: having more than one tRNA (with a specific anti-codon) for a particular amino acid; and 'wobble' base-pairing, i.e. permitting non-standard base-pairing at the 3rd anti-codon position.
Source: RNAcentral